UAAUACGGAGGGUGCGAGCGUUGUCCGGAAUCACUGGGCGUAAAGGGCGCGUAGGCGGCCUGAUAAGUAGGGGGUGAAAUCCUGCGGCUUAACCGCAGGGCUGCCUUCUAAACUGUCAGGCUAGAGCACGGUAGAGGCAGAUGGAAUUCCCGGUGUAGCGGUGGAAUGCGUAGAGAUCGGGAAGAACAUCAGUGGCGAAGGCGGUCUGCUGGGCCGUUGCUGACGCUGAGGCGCGACAGCGUGGGGAGCAAACAGGAUUAGAUACCCUGGUAGUCCACGCCGUAAACGAUGGGCACUAGGCGUCGGGGGGAGCGACCCUCCCGGUGCCGUCGCUAACGCAGUAAGUGCCCCGCCUGGGGAGUACGGCCGCAAGGCUG
RNAcentral lists this ribosomal RNA (377 nucleotides) under uncultured bacterium. RNAcentral describes it as "bacterial SSU rRNA". It matches the Rfam family "Bacterial small subunit ribosomal RNA", at positions 521 to 896 of the family's 1533-position model. The record is from RNAcentral.